RNAcentral lists this ribosomal RNA (253 nucleotides) under uncultured bacterium. RNAcentral's name for it is "partial 16S ribosomal RNA". It matches the Rfam family "Bacterial small subunit ribosomal RNA", at positions 524 to 776 of the family's 1533-position model. The record is from RNAcentral.
UACGAAGGGGGCUAGCGUUGCUCGGAAUCACUGGGCGUAAAGGGUGCGUAGGCGGGUCUUUAAGUCAGGGGUGAAAUCCUGGAGCUCAACUCCAGAACUGCCUUCGAUACUGAGAGUCUCGAGUCCGAGAGAGGUGAGUGGAACUGCGAGUGUAGAGGUGAAAUUCGUAGAUAUUCGCAAGAACACCAGUGGCGAAGGCGGCUAACUGGUCCGGUUCUGACGCUGAGGCGCGAAAGCGUGGGGAGCAAACAGG